This is a small nuclear RNA of Mustela putorius furo (domestic ferret), 104 nucleotides long. NCBI's taxonomy places the organism in Eukaryota, Metazoa, Chordata, Mammalia, Carnivora, Mustelidae. The record is from Ensembl.
GUGUUCACUUCAGCAGCACAUAUACAGAAAUUAUAACAAUACAGAUAUUAGCAUGGCCCCUGUCCGAGGAAAACAUGCAAAUUAGUGAAAUAUUCCAUAUGUGU